GACGUAGGGCGCAAGCGUUGUCCGGAUUUAUUGGGCGUAAAGAGCUCGUAGGCGGUUUGUCGCGUCUGCUGUGAAAACUGGAGGCUCAACCUCCAGCCUGCAGUGGGUACGGGCAGACUAGAGUGCGGUAGGGGAGAUUGGAAUUCCUUGUGUAGCGGUGGAAUGCGCAGAUAUCAGGAGGAACACCAAUGGCGAAGGCAGAUCUCUGGGCCGUAACUGACGCUGAGGAGCGAAAGCAUGGGGAGCGAACAGG
RNAcentral lists this ribosomal RNA (253 nucleotides) under uncultured bacterium. RNAcentral describes it as "partial 16S ribosomal RNA". It matches the Rfam family "Bacterial small subunit ribosomal RNA", at positions 524 to 776 of the family's 1533-position model. The record is from RNAcentral.